Molecule: ribosomal RNA, 158 nt
Filed under: basidiomycete from Phyllostachys pubescens
Lineage: Eukaryota; Fungi; Basidiomycota
Description: 5.8S ribosomal RNA
Rfam family: 5.8S ribosomal RNA
About the family: 5.8S ribosomal RNA (5.8S rRNA) is a component of the large subunit of the eukaryotic ribosome.
Source: RNAcentral
UACAACUUUCAGCAACGGAUCUCUUGGCUCUCGCAUCGAUGAAGAACGCAGCGAAAUGCGAUAAGUAAUGUGAAUUGCAGAAUUCAGUGAAUCAUCGAAUCUUUGAACGCACCUUGCACUCCUUGGUAUUCCGAGGAGUAUGCCUGUUUGAGUCUCAU